This 464-nucleotide ribosomal RNA is filed under the name Vreelandella stevensii. RNAcentral's name for it is "partial 16S ribosomal RNA". It matches the Rfam family "Bacterial small subunit ribosomal RNA", at positions 338 to 794 of the family's 1533-position model. The record is from RNAcentral. Lineage: Bacteria; Pseudomonadati; Pseudomonadota; Gammaproteobacteria; Oceanospirillales; Halomonadaceae.
CCUACGGGUGGCUGCAGUGGGGAAUAUUGGACAAUGGGCGAAAGCCUGAUCCAGCCAUGCCGCGUGUGUGAAGAAGGCCUUCGGGUUGUAAAGCACUUUCAGUGGGGAAGAAAGCCUUGGGGCUAAUACCCUCGAGGAAGGACAUCACCCACAGAAGAAGCACCGGCUAACUCCGUGCCAGCAGCCGCGGUAAUACGGAGGGUGCGAGCGUUAAUCGGAAUUACUGGGCGUAAAGCGCGCGUAGGCGGUCUGAUAAGCCGGUUGUGAAAGCCCCGGGCUCAACCUGGGAACGACAUCCGGAACUGUCAGGCUAGAGUGCAGGAGAGGAAGGUAGAAUUCCCGGUGUAGCGGUGAAAUGCGUAGAGAUCGGGAGGAAUACCAGUGGCGAAGGCGGCCUUCUGGACUGACACUGACGCUGAGGUGCGAAAGCGUGGGUAGCAAACAGGAUUAGAUACCCUUGUAGU